Molecule: small nuclear RNA, 103 nt
Filed under: Salvator merianae (Argentine black and white tegu)
Lineage: Eukaryota; Metazoa; Chordata; Lepidosauria; Squamata; Teiidae
Source: RNAcentral
AUGCUCACUUCGGCAGCACAUAUACUAAAAUUGGAACGAUACAAAGAAGAUUAAGAUGGCCCCUGUGAAUGGUACACAAAUUUGUGAAGUAUUCCAUACUUAA